RNAcentral lists this ribosomal RNA (518 nucleotides) under uncultured Glomus. Its description in RNAcentral is "SSU rRNA". It matches the Rfam family "Eukaryotic small subunit ribosomal RNA", at positions 572 to 1092 of the family's 1831-position model. Lineage: Eukaryota; Fungi; Glomeromycota; Glomeromycetes; Glomerales; Glomeraceae. The record is from RNAcentral.
AGCCGCGGUAAUUCCAGCUCCAAUAGCGUAUAUUAAAGUUGUUGCAGUUAAAAAGCUCGUAGUUGAAUUUCGGGAUCAGAUUGUCGGUCGUGCCUCGGUACGCACUGGCAUUAUUGGUUCCUACCUUCUGAAGAACCGCGAUGUCAUUAAUUUGGUGUCGUGGGGAAUCAGGACUGUUACUUUGAAAAAAUUAGAGUGUUUAAAGCAGGCGCACGCUUGAAUACAUUAGCAUGGAAUAAUGAAAUAGGACGUUUGAUUCUAUUUUGUUGGUUUCUAGGAUCGACGUAAUGAUUAAUAGGGAUAGUUGGGGGCAUUAGUAUUCAAUUGUCAGAGGUGAAAUUCUUGGAUUUAUUGAAGACUAACUACUGCGAAAGCAUUUGCCAAGGAUGUUUUCAUUAAUCAAGAACGAAAGUUAGGGGAUCGAAGACGAUCAGAUACCGUCGUAGUCUUAACCAUAAACUAUGCCGACUAGGGAUCGGAUGAUGUUAAUUUUUUAAUGACUCAUUCGGCGCCUUACG